AUGAAGCCCAGCACCAAGAAGAAAUCCAAGAAGAAGAAGCGGCCCUCGCCGGCGGCCGCCAACGGGGUGGCGCCGCCGACCCCUCCGGCGCCGGGGUCCUCCCCGCGCUCGCCGCUCGCCGAAACCCUAACCCUAGCCGCCGCGGCCUCGGAGACGGAGUCGAGCGGCAGCGGCAGCGGGAGCGGCGGGGACGCCUCCGGGUACGCCCGCGCCUUCACCUCCAGCUCGUCGGGCGCCGCGUCCACCUCCUCGUUCUACGCCCCCUCCUCGACCGACUCCGCCGCGUCCUCCUCGGCCACGGGCGACGAGCGGCGAGACCUCGCCUGGCUGCUCGAGGCCUUCGGCAGCGCCACCAUCGACCAGGUCGACUCGGCCUACCGCGAGGCCGGCGGCGACCCCUUCCUCGCGGCCGGCAUCCUCGGCUCCACGCAGGACAUGCAGCCGCCGCCGCCGCCACCGCCAGAUCUCUCCCCGCGCGCCGGAUCUGCUGGGAGGAAGCCGGCUCGCAGGCCCAGGAAGCUUCCCGUGGCCGCGUCUGGCAUCGUCGCGGACGUGAUCGGCAAGGGCUACUCGCGGCCUGCCACGCCGCCUGUAAGCGCGACCGAGAGAAGUGGGUGGAAGGGGAAGGGGAAGGACAUGGAUGGAGAAAGCGUCAGCAACGGCUGGAAUGAUGAGAGAAACGGGGGGAGAGAAAGCAGAGGUGCCGAUCCCACGCUUAAUGUUGAGGAGGCCGAGCAGUUCCUCUGCUCCAUGCUUGGAGAUCAUUCUGAGCUCAGCAUGGGUGUGGUCAAAGACGUGCUGGGUCAGUCUGGAUAUGAUGUUGAGCAGUUCCCAGAAGAAAUACCUGGUAUGUCAUACAAUCACUCUGAAAGGCAACAUGAAUUCUUCUGGGGGGAACAACAGAGCAGUAGCUACAUGAAGGCUGUUUGCGAGGUGGAACACUCGGCAACACCGUCUCCAAGAUCGGCGGUGGUGGAUUCCAAGAUGCCACAACAAGUCUUGGAGUCGCUGUUCAAAAUACCUGAAAGACGCACAUACGAGCCAAGUAAAAUGGACUGGAAGAAGGUCGUGAAGAAGCUGCAGUCAUAUAAUCAUCCCAUCACAGCAAGCAAUCAAGAAAGACCAAAAAGGGAUGGGUAUCGAGAGUUCCGUGGUGUUUCUGCUAGGCAUUAUGAUACGAUGAAAGGGUACUAUCAGAAAGCUGCUGUGGCAUAUUCCAAAGGAGAUAAAUCUUAUGCCUCGUACCUUGCAGAGGAGGGAAAACAUUAUCGGGAAUUGGGUCGCAAGGAAGAUGAGAAGGCCAGCAGGGAGAUAUUUGAAGCCAGAAACAAGCAUAUAACAAACACGGUGACUAUUGACUUGCAUGGUCAACAUGUCAAGCAAGCUAUGAAGCUCCUCAAAGUUCACAUGCUGGUUUGUGUAUGCAUGCCAUCCCUUCUUAGAGUAAUUACUGGUUGUGGUGUUGAAGGUACAGGGAAAGGAAAGAUAAAACGAUCGGUUAUCGAGCUUGUGGAGAAGGAAGGCAUCGAGUGGUAUGAAGGGAACUCCGGAACCAUAGUUCUUCGACUAGGCGGGCCAAGAGAAUACCGCUUCCUGGAGCAUGACAGCGAUUCUGACUGA
RNAcentral lists this ribosomal RNA (1620 nucleotides) under Triticum aestivum (bread wheat). RNAcentral describes it as "partial small subunit ribosomal RNA". The record is from RNAcentral. Lineage: Eukaryota; Viridiplantae; Streptophyta; Magnoliopsida; Poales; Poaceae.